This 488-nucleotide ribosomal RNA is filed under the name Metapontonia fungiacola. Its description in RNAcentral is "partial 16S ribosomal RNA". It matches the Rfam family "Bacterial large subunit ribosomal RNA", at positions 1928 to 2630 of the family's 2925-position model. Lineage: Eukaryota; Metazoa; Arthropoda; Malacostraca; Decapoda; Palaemonidae. The record is from RNAcentral.
GGGCCGCGGUAUUCUGACCGUGCGAAGGUAGCAUAAUCAGUAGUCCUUUAAUUGUGGGCUGGAAUGAACGGCUGGAUGAGAUAUAAUCUGUCUUAAUAUUAUUAUUGAAUUUAACUUUUAAGUGAAAAGGCUUAGAUUUUUAGGGGGACGAUAAGACCCUAUGAAACUUUAUAAAUUUAAUUAUGGUUUAAGAAAUUUGUUUAAAUUAGAUCUUAAGUUGAUUUAUUUCGUUGGGGAGAUGAAAAUAAAAUUGUAACUGUUUCUGGAAAUAUCAUAWUUAUCGGUAGAUAUUGACCCUUUAUUGAGGAUUAUAAGAUUAAGUUACUUUAGGGAUAACAGCGUAAUUUCUUUUGAGAGUUCAUAUCGACAAAGGUAGUUGCGACCUCGAUGUUGAAUUAAAAUUUCGGUUUGGUGUAGCAGCUAAGCUGGUGGGUCUGUUCGACCUUUAAAAUUUUACAUGAUUUGAGUUCAGACCGGCGUGAGCCAGG